AUGCUGUUGCAAUAGUAGUCCUGCUCAGCACAAGAGGAACCGCAGGUUCAGACCCCUGGUGCGUGUGCUUGGCUGAGGAGCCACUGGCGCGAGGCUACCAUCUGUGGUACCUUAUGACUGAAUGCCUCGAAGUCAGAAUUCCACCUACAUGUAGUGAUUAUUAAACAAACAAACAAAUUACAGAUAUGAUCUUAGAGGUCUUUUCCAGCCUAUGAUUCUAAGUAAGUUCCCUUGCUGUAGAGCCUUUCUGACUUGAGUAUUAUGUGGCUAUGAACUAAACACAGAACAUGAAAGAAACCUGAAAAGACCUAGUUUCUUUUUGUCAGUGGGAAAAUUUAUUGUUAAGGAUAUUUUUUUUGGUUUGGGUUUCCUAGAUCUCUAAUUCU
This 386-nucleotide non-coding RNA is filed under the name Opisthocomus hoazin. Its description in RNAcentral is "Eukaryotic large subunit ribosomal RNA". It matches the Rfam family "Eukaryotic large subunit ribosomal RNA", at positions 3004 to 3401 of the family's 3401-position model. The record is from Rfam by way of RNAcentral. Lineage: Eukaryota; Metazoa; Chordata; Aves; Opisthocomiformes; Opisthocomidae.